This 433-nucleotide ribosomal RNA is filed under the name uncultured bacterium. RNAcentral describes it as "bacterial SSU rRNA". It matches the Rfam family "Bacterial small subunit ribosomal RNA", at positions 29 to 507 of the family's 1533-position model. The record is from RNAcentral.
AACGAACGCUGGCGGCAUGCCUAACACAUGCAAGUCGAACGAGACCUUCGGGUCUAGUGGCGCACGGGUGCGUAACGCGUGGGAAUCUGCCCUUGGGUUCGGGAUAACAGUUGGAAACGACUGCUAAUACCGGAUGAUAUCUUCGGAUCAAAGAUUUAUCGCCCAGGGAUGAGCCCGCGUAGGAUUAGCUUGUUGGUGAGGUAAGAGCUCACCAAGGCGACGAUCCUUAGCUGGUCUGAGAGGAUGAUCAGCCACACUGGGACUGAGACACGGCCCAGACUCCUACGGGAGGCAGCAGUGGGGAAUAUUGCACAAUGGGCGCAAGCCUGAUCCAGCAAUGCCGCGUGAGUGAUGAAGGCCUUAGGGUUGUAAAGCUCUUUUACCCGGGAUGAUAAUGACAGUACCGGGAGAAUAAGCCCCGGCUAACUCCGUG